This 617-nucleotide ribosomal RNA is filed under the name Norellisoma lituratum. Its description in RNAcentral is "partial 12S ribosomal RNA". The record is from RNAcentral. Lineage: Eukaryota; Metazoa; Arthropoda; Insecta; Diptera; Scathophagidae.
AAAUUAUUUCAAUUUUUUUUCACAAUACUAUUACACUAUAAUUAAAAUAAUUUUUUCUUUAUAAAAUACUAAAACAAAUCUUUAUAUAAUUAUUUUUAAUAAUUUAAAAUUUUAAAAAUCAUAAAUUAAUAAAUAAAAUAUAAUCAAUUUAUAUUGAUUUGCACAAAAAUCUUUUCAAUGUAAAUGAAAUACUUUACUUUAUAAGCUUUAAAUUGCAUUCUAGAUGCACUUUCCAGUACAUCUACUAUGUUACGACUUAUCUUACCUUAAUAAUAAGAGUGACGGGCGAUGUGUACAUAUUUUAGAGCUAAAAUCAAAUUAUUUAUCUUUAUAAUUUUACUAUCAAAUCCACCUUCAAUAAAUAUUUCAAAUUUAUAUUCAUAUAAAUAAAUUUAUUGUAACUCAUUUCUACUUAAACAUAAGCUACACCUUGAUCUGAUAUAUUUUCUUUUUAAAAAUUAUGAAAAUUAACAUUCUUAUAAAAUAUUCUAAUAACGACGGUAUAUAAACUGAUUACAAAUUUAAGUAAGGUCCAUCGUGGAUUAUCGAUUAUAGAACAAGUUCCUCUGAAUAGACUAAAAUACCGCCAAAUUUUUUAAGUUUCAAGAACAUAACUA